AACGAACGCUGGCGGCAUGCCUAACACAUGCAAGUCGAACGAGACCUUCGGGUCUAGUGGCGCACGGGUGCGUAACGCGUGGGAACCUGCCCUUAGGUUCGGAAUAACUCCCCGAAAGGGGUGCUAAUACCGGAUAAUGUCUUCGGACCAAAGAUUUAUCGCCUUUGGAUGGGCCCGCGUUGGAUUAGCUAGUUGGUAGGGUAAAAGCCUACCAAGGCGACGUUCCAUAGCUGGUCUGAGAGGAUGAUCAGCCACACUGGGACUGAGACACGGCCCAGACUCCUACGGGAGGCAGCAGUGGGGAAUAUUGGACAAUGGGCGAAGGGCUGAUCCAGCAAUGCCGCGUGAGUGAUGAAGGCCUUGGGGUUGUAAAGCUCUUUUACCCGGGAUGAUAAUGACGGUACCGGGAGAAUAAGCUCCGGCUAACUCCGUG
RNAcentral lists this ribosomal RNA (433 nucleotides) under uncultured bacterium. RNAcentral's name for it is "partial 16S ribosomal RNA". It matches the Rfam family "Bacterial small subunit ribosomal RNA", at positions 29 to 507 of the family's 1533-position model. The record is from RNAcentral.